RNAcentral lists this ribosomal RNA (241 nucleotides) under uncultured bacterium. RNAcentral describes it as "partial 16S ribosomal RNA". It matches the Rfam family "Bacterial small subunit ribosomal RNA", at positions 524 to 756 of the family's 1533-position model. The record is from RNAcentral.
GACGAACCGUGCAAACGUUAUUCGGAAUCACUGGGCUUAAAGCGCGUGUAGGCGGGCCGGCACGUCGGUCGCUGAAAUCCCCCGGCUCAACCGGGGAAGCGGCGCCGAUACGACCGGCCUGGAGGGGCGUAGGGGGACCUGGAACUUCCGGUGGAGCGGUGAAAUGCGUUGAGAUCGGAAGGAACGCCCGUGGCGAAAGCGGCGAGGCUCCGUCGGACGCCAUCUGACGCAGACGGAGCGA